AGCACAAAUGAUGAACAAAGGGACUUAAUACUGAGACCUGAUGUUACACUGUGCUAUGCUGAUGUGC
Choloepus didactylus (southern two-toed sloth) is the source of this 67-nucleotide small nucleolar RNA. RefSeq annotates it as small nucleolar RNA SNORD82. Lineage: Eukaryota; Metazoa; Chordata; Mammalia; Pilosa; Megalonychidae. The transcript has a single exon. The record is from RefSeq and is a predicted model, not a curated record.